Molecule: long non-coding RNA, 378 nt
Organism: Salvia miltiorrhiza (redroot sage)
Lineage: Eukaryota; Viridiplantae; Streptophyta; Magnoliopsida; Lamiales; Lamiaceae
Exons: 2
Source: RefSeq, a predicted model, not a curated record
GUAGAAUACAGAAUCACUACCUAUGUAGUUAUAGAAAGAUUUAGGUUGUUAAUAUCUUUCAUAUUUCUUUUAUUUAAGAAGCUCGGGUUGGCUAUGUUUUGCAGGUGAACUCGCUCGUGUUGGUGGAGGCUCAUUAGUGUAAUUGAGUUUAUCAUCUUGGCGGAUCAAGUAGAUGGGAGUCGAUGAGCUAUGAGGACUACUACAAAAGAGAAGGCUGAAGCAGAGAACGUCGUUUCAAAUGUCUAGCAAGUUGCGCGCAUUUGUAAUAUUUUUUAAUUAAUCAUAUAGCUAACUAGAAUAUUUGUGUUGUUUUCAUUAUAUUUGGAUGAUAAUGUAUGAAUAUUUCGGAUGUUAUAUAAUAUAUGUUAUCGAUGGCAA